GUAAUCUAGAGAAGUGUUUUCCGCGUUGGCCCAUGUACAAGUCCCUUGGAACAGGGCGUCAUAGAGGGUGAGAAUCCCGUCCUUGACAUGGACCCCCAAUGCUUUGUGAUACACUUUCAACGAGUCGAGUUGUUUGGGAAUGCAGCUCAAAAUGGGUGGUGAAUUCCAUCUAAAGCUAAAUAUUGGCGAGAGACCGAUAGCGAACAAGUACCGUGAGGGAAAGAUGAAAAGCACUUUGGAAAGAGAGUUAAACAGUACGUGAAAUUGUUGAAAGGGAAACGAUUGAAGUCAGUCAUGCUCUUUGGAUUAAGCCGUUCUGCGGUGUAUUUCAUUGAGCGGGGUCAACAUCAGUUUUGAUCGCUGGAAAAGGGCAGGAGGAAGGUAGCACUCUCGGGUGAACUUAUAGCCUCUUGUCGUAUACAGUGAUUGGGACUGAGGAACGCAGCAUGCCUUUUGGCCGGGAUUCGUCCACGUACAUGCUUAGGAUGUUGACAUAAUGGCUUUAAACGACCCG
RNAcentral lists this ribosomal RNA (514 nucleotides) under Naganishia friedmannii. RNAcentral describes it as "eukaryotic LSU rRNA". It matches the Rfam family "Eukaryotic large subunit ribosomal RNA", at positions 145 to 651 of the family's 3401-position model. The record is from RNAcentral. Lineage: Eukaryota; Fungi; Basidiomycota; Tremellomycetes; Filobasidiales; Filobasidiaceae.